CAGAAACACGUUUCUGGUUACGUUAUCAAACGGACCCUUAAGGGUCGGAAUGUUUAGAUUGGAGCAGAUGGUGCCAAGAUUGCUGACUUGGGUUGCACAAGAUGGAUCGAUGAGGUGGAUGAGGAGGCUCCGGCGAUGCCGAUUGCCGGAACCCCUGUUUUCAUGGCACCUAAAGUGGCUCGAGGGGAUGAACAGAGUUUCACUGCUGACGUUUGGGCACAUCUGUCGAUUCCCUUCAUGUUUCUUUCCCUCCCCCUCUUUACACUCUCUAUCCCUUCGUGACUAAGAAAACCAAAGCUCAAUCUCUCAGUUUCGUCUUCAGCGAUCACUUCCUUCCGCCACAAAUCACCAUUUAUGCAUGAAACGGAGUUGCACGAUUUGUCUGACGAUUUAGAUUACGUUGUGUCACAGCAACAGAGAAUCCAAGGUGCAAUGCAAUGAAAAAAGUACAAAACCCUAAUCUACCUUUCCCCUUUCCCUGUUUCUGUACUGAUUCUCGCCAUGUCUGCAAGCAUUCUCAGCUUAGUAAUCUUAAGGAGAAGGAAGCGUGAGAUCGAUCGAGCGAUCUCCCUCCCAACUCCCAAGCAGUAACAUCUCGAUUUCGAUGUCUCUCCUUCCUCCUCUCUUCCCAGAUCUCCAAAGCAAUAUCACUCUAAAAUCGAACCUCCGAUUCUCUCUUCAAUCAUUCCUAACUCCGUUGUCGAAGGUGGAGAGAGCGGCACUCAGAUCUUACUCGUUGCUGCUUGGCUACAGAACAAGAACACGGAAUGGGCAUCAAAGAACAUUCUAGGUGGCACCUCGUUCUAGGAUUUGAGAAUGGUAAUGCAUACCAAAAGGCUUUUUGACGCAGAAUACGCUAUGAGAAUGCAUACCAAACACAGAUCAACAAUCGGUUUCCUACGAUGCCGAUUGUUGAAACCCUUGUUUCUGUACUGAUUCGCAACGUUCUUCGUUUUGGUUUUUCAGUCCUUAGAUUUGAACGGUUUUUUAGGCGUGGAAGUGAAGACGAAUGAGUUUUAAUGAAUAGGGUAUAACAGUUAUUUUUA
Macadamia integrifolia is the source of this 1046-nucleotide long non-coding RNA. RefSeq lists it as uncharacterized. The transcript has 2 exons. NCBI's taxonomy places the organism in Eukaryota, Viridiplantae, Streptophyta, Magnoliopsida, Proteales, Proteaceae. The record is from RefSeq and is a predicted model, not a curated record.